This 2005-nucleotide ribosomal RNA is filed under the name Cavia aperea (Brazilian guinea pig). Its description in RNAcentral is "eukaryotic LSU rRNA". It matches the Rfam family "Eukaryotic large subunit ribosomal RNA", at positions 367 to 1679 of the family's 3401-position model. The record is from RNAcentral. Lineage: Eukaryota; Metazoa; Chordata; Mammalia; Rodentia; Caviidae.
AAAAGAACUUUGAAGAGAGAGUUCAAAAGGGCAUGAAACCCUUAAGAGGUAAAUGGGUGGGGUCUGCACAGUCCGCCCAAAGGAUUCAACCCAGUGGUUGAAUCCGGCUGUGCCGGUGGUCUCCUGGCAGAUCUUUCUUGCCUCUCAUUCCUCCCGACCCCUUCACCCAUCUGCCCACCCACCCGCUGCCACCCCUCCUCCCUUCCCGGAGGGGAGUACGCUCUGGAGGGUGCAUGGGACGGGUGGGCAGGUCCAGGUGUGGGUGUGGGGCGGGUAGGGUACCACCCAGUGGAUGUUGACCUGCAGCCUCCAGGCGCAUUUCCACUGCGGUGCACCAGGACUGGCUCCGGACAUCUGGGAAGGCCUCUUGGGGAAGGUGGCUUGGGGGAGAGUCCCCCUGCCUUCGUUAUUCCCACGGCGUGUGGCAGGAGUCAGUCCCCCCCCCCCCCCAAGUGUUACAGCCACCUGGCAGAGCAGCUCGCCAAAUCCUGGGGUUGAGGGAGCCAGACCCAUCACUGUGCUCUCCCUGCUCCUGGCGCCCACCCACAGCAGAAGUCUUUCCCACGAGGGGGAGCCCACCUCUGAGACUCGAAUGCUGCUAUUCCCUGGGGGGCUGGACUGCCCCUCCCAUGGCGUGACCACUCUCCCACUCCUGCCUCUCCUUCCCCGCAGGGAGUGAUGGGGCAGGGCGGACUGUCCCCAUUGCACCCCAUGUGGUCCUGCCGUGGGGCCUGACCCAUCUUGAAAGACAGACCAAUGAAUCUAACUCGUGAGCAAGUGGAGGGCUCCCUCAAAUGCCGCUGAGGCACAAUGAAGGUGAAGGCAGGUGUUUUCAGCGGCGUGCCACAGAGGGAGGGUGAGUGGGGUGGGUCCAGGGCAGGGUGGAUGGUGGCACGACCAUGCACCCUCCUGUCUGCCCCUCACCCGAUUCUCUCUCCUUCCCCCUCCUUUUCCCAGUGCUCCACCUCGCCGGCCCAAGGAGGGAUCCUGAGGCCUCUCCAGUCCUCCCCCAAAAGAUGGUGAACUAUUCCUGGGCAGGGCGAAGCCAGGGGAAACUCUGGUGGAAGUUUGUAGUGGUCUUGACGUGCAAAUCUGUUGUCCGACCUGGGUAUAGGGGCGAAAGACUAAUUGAACCAUCUAAUAGCUGGUUCCCUCCGAAGGUUCCCUCAGAAUAGCUGGCGCUCUCAAAAACCACAAUGAAGUUUUAUCCUGUAAAGUGAAUGAUUAGAGGUCUUGAGGCCAAAACCGUCUCAACCUAUUCUCAAACUUUAAAUGGGUAAGAAUCCCAGCUCGCUGGUGUGGAGCCAGGCAUGGAAUGCGAGUGCCUAGUGUGCCACUUUUGGUAAGCAGAACUGGCCCUGCGGGAUGAACCAAAUGCCGGGUUAAGGCGCCCGAUGCCGACGCUCAUCAGACCCCAGAAAAGGUGUUGGUUGACAUAGACAGCAGGAUGUUGGCCAUGGAAGUCGGAAUCUGCUAAGGAGUGUGUAACAACUCACCUGCCUAAUCAACUAGCCCUGAAAAUGGAUGGUGCUGGAGCAUCCGGACCAUACCUGGCCGUCGCUAGCAGUGGGAUCUACACAGGAGCAAGAAGGGGAAUCUGCGUGGGGGGUUGCCCCUUCCCCUCACCGCCCUCCCCAUGUGUGUCGCCCUGCAGACACUAGCCAUGGCGAGCAGGAGGGCUGCUGCGGUGAGCCUUGAAGCCUAGGGUGUGGGCCCGGGUGGAGCCGCCGCAGGUGCCGAUCUUGGUGGUAGUAGCAAAUAUUCAAACAAGAACUUUGAAGGCAGAAGUGGAGAAGGAUUCCAUGUGAACAGCAGUUGAAUAUGAAUCAAUUGGUCCUGAGAGAUGGGCUAGCGCCAUUCCGAAGGGACAGGUGAUGGUCUCCGUUGCCCUCAGCCUGUCAAAAGGGAGUCUGGUUCAGAUCUCCGAAUUCAGAGUGGCAGAGAUGGUCAUGGCGAGGCAUCCAGUGUGGUAACGCNNNNNNNNNNNNNNNNNNNNNNNNNNNNN